Vicia faba (fava bean) is the source of this 207-nucleotide non-coding RNA. The record is from the annotation of a GenBank genome assembly. NCBI's taxonomy places the organism in Eukaryota, Viridiplantae, Streptophyta, Magnoliopsida, Fabales, Fabaceae.
AUGUCUUCAAUUGGUGCACGUUCAGCUGAAAUUUACGUUAUGCAGAAGAGGCAGAAAGAAAAGAUGAAAAAAAUGGAAGAGGAAAGAGGAAGAAUAGGUGAGGUCAUGCGUGGUGAUGAUCAAAACAGAAAGGAAAGUUCUAUUAAUAUUGGUAAGAACAAAGUGCAUCCAGGGAGUGAACAAGGAGUUCCACUUAAUUCAGCAUAG